Molecule: ribosomal RNA, 454 nt
Filed under: uncultured bacterium
Lineage: Bacteria
Description: partial 16S ribosomal RNA
Rfam family: Bacterial small subunit ribosomal RNA
Source: RNAcentral
GAUGAACGCUGACAGAAUGCUUAACACAUGCAAGUCCACUUGAACUUCGGUUUGGGUGGCGGACGGGUGAGUAACGCGUAAAGAACUUGCCUCACAGAUAGGGACAACAUUUGGAGACGAAUGCUAAUACCUGAUAUUAUGAUUUUAGGGCAUCCUAGGAUUAUGAAAGCUAUAUGCGCUGUGAGAGAGCUUUGCGUCCCAUUAGCUAGUUGGAGAGGUAACGGCUCACCAAGGCGAUGAUGGGUAGCCGGCCUGAGAGGGUGAUCGGCCACAAGGGGACUGAGACACGGCCCUUACUCCUACGGGAGGCAGCAGUGGGGAAUAUUGGACAAUGGACCAAGAGUCUGAUCCAGCAAUUCUGUGUGCACGAUGAAGUUUUUCGGAAUGUAAAGUGCUUUCAGUUGGGAAGAAAAAAAUGACGGUACCAACAGAAGAAGUGACGGCUAAAUACGUG